This 196-nucleotide ribosomal RNA is filed under the name uncultured bacterium. Its description in RNAcentral is "partial 16S ribosomal RNA". It matches the Rfam family "Bacterial small subunit ribosomal RNA", at positions 326 to 539 of the family's 1533-position model. The record is from RNAcentral.
ACGCUCGACACCUACGAGGCAGCAGUGGGGAAUAUUGCACAAUGGGGGAAACCCUGAUGCAGCGACGCCGCGUGAGCGAAGAAGUAUCUCGGUAUGUAAAGCUCUAUCAGCAGGGAAGAAGAUGACGGUACCUGACUAAGAAGCACCGGCUAAAUACGUGCCAGCAGCCGUGGUAAUCUGAGCGGGCUGGCAAGGC